This 479-nucleotide ribosomal RNA is filed under the name Fusarium solani. RNAcentral describes it as "eukaryotic LSU rRNA". It matches the Rfam family "Eukaryotic large subunit ribosomal RNA", at positions 69 to 559 of the family's 3401-position model. The record is from RNAcentral. Lineage: Eukaryota; Fungi; Ascomycota; Sordariomycetes; Hypocreales; Nectriaceae.
CAGGGAUUGCCCCAGUAACGGCGAGUGAAGCGGCAACAGCUCAAAUUUGAAAUCUGGCUCUCGGGCCCGAGUUGUAAUUUGUAGAGGAUGCUUUUGGUGAGGUGCCUUCCGAGUUCCCUGGAACGGGACGCCAUAGAGGGUGAGAGCCCCGUCUGGUUGGACACCGAUCCUCUGUAAAGCUCCUUCGACGAGUCGAGUAGUUUGGGAAUGCUGCUCUAAAUGGGAGGUAUAUGUCUUCUAAAGCUAAAUACCGGCCAGAGACCGAUAGCGCACAAGUAGAGUGAUCGAAAGAUGAAAAGAACUUUGAAAAGAGAGUUAAACAGUACGUGAAAUUGUUGAAAGGGAAGCGCUUGUGACCAGACUUGGGCUUGGUUGAUCAUCCGGGGUUCUCCCCGGUGCACUCUUCCGGCUCAGGCCAGCAUCAGUUCGCCCUGGGGGAUAAAGGCUUCGGGAAUGUGGCUCUCUCCGGGGAGUGUUAU